RNAcentral lists this ribosomal RNA (251 nucleotides) under bacterium. Its description in RNAcentral is "partial 16S ribosomal RNA". It matches the Rfam family "Bacterial small subunit ribosomal RNA", at positions 1 to 280 of the family's 1533-position model. The record is from RNAcentral.
CUUAAUGAGAGUUUGAUCCUAGCUCAGGGUGAAUGCUGGCGGCGUGGAUAAGUCAUGCAAGUCAAGGGGGCCCGAAAGGGCAACCGGCAGACGAGGUAGUAACACGUAGGUACGUCCCCCGAAGUCGGGCAUAGCCAUCCGAAAGGAUGGGUAAUUCCCGAUAGUCCCGCAAGGGUAAAGGUUUUUCGCUUCGGGAGCGGCCUGCGUAAUAUCAGCUAGUUGGUGAGGUAAUGGCUCACCAAGGCUACGAC